GACGAACGCUGGCGGCGUGCUUAACACAUGCAAGUCGAACGGAAAGGCCCUGCUUUUGUUGGUUGCUCGAGUGGCGAACGGGUGAGUAACACGUGAGUAACCUGCCCUUGACUUUGGGAUAACUUCAGGAAACUGGGGCUAAUACCGGAUAUGAGCUCCUGCUGCAUGGUGGGGGUUGGAAAGUUUCGGCGGUUGUGGAUGGACUGGCGGCUUAUCAGCUGGUUGGUGGGGUAGUUGCUUACCAAGGGUUUGACGGGUAGCCGGCCUGAGAGGGUGACCGGCCACAUGGGGACUGAGAUACGGACCAGACUCCUACGGGAGGCAGAAGUGGGGAAUAUUGCAAAAUGGGCGGAAGCCUGAUGCAGCAACGCCGCGUGCGGGAUGACGGCCUACGGGUUGUAAACCGCUUUCGCCUGUGACGAAGCGUGAGUGACGGUAAUGGGUAAAGAAGCACCGGCUAACUACGUG
RNAcentral lists this ribosomal RNA (468 nucleotides) under uncultured bacterium. RNAcentral's name for it is "partial 16S ribosomal RNA". It matches the Rfam family "Bacterial small subunit ribosomal RNA", at positions 28 to 507 of the family's 1533-position model. The record is from RNAcentral.